This 218-nucleotide long non-coding RNA is filed under the name Elaeis guineensis (African oil palm). Its description in RNAcentral is "long non-coding RNA (EGUI_LNC043654)". The record is from RNAcentral. Lineage: Eukaryota; Viridiplantae; Streptophyta; Magnoliopsida; Arecales; Arecaceae.
CUUAGGUUCGAACCUAUGGGGUCACACGCAUUAGAAUAUUUGAUCAGAUCAGAUGGCUGAAGAGUCCAAUUAGAUUGUGAGUCUGGUGAAGAGUCCAACUCGGACUAAGACUCUAUGGAAGAGUCCCACUGAGACUGGGACUCUACUAUUAAUGGAGAAUUUAUUAGUAAUUAGAUUACUAAUUGACUCAAUUUGAUUAAGUAAAGAGCUUUAGAUCA